This 760-nucleotide ribosomal RNA is filed under the name uncultured Eikenella sp. RNAcentral's name for it is "bacterial SSU rRNA". It matches the Rfam family "Bacterial small subunit ribosomal RNA", at positions 28 to 776 of the family's 1533-position model. Lineage: Bacteria; Pseudomonadati; Pseudomonadota; Betaproteobacteria; Neisseriales; Neisseriaceae. The record is from RNAcentral.
AUUGAACGCUGGCGGCAUGCUUUACACAUGCAAGUCGAACGGCAGCGGGGUAGUGCUUGCACUACUGUCCGGCGAGUGGCGAACGGGUGAGUAAUAUAUCGGAACGUACCGAGUAAUGGGGGAUAACCAAUCGAAAGAUUGGCUAAUACCGCAUACGUCCUAAGGGAGAAAGCGGAGGAUCGCAAGACCUCGCGUUAUUCGAGCGGCCGAUAACUGAUUAGCUAGUUGGUGGGGUAAAGGCCUACCAAGGCGACGAUCAGUAGCGGGUCUGAGAGGACGAUCCGCCACACUGGGACUGAGACACGGCCCAGACUCCUACGGGAGGCAGCAGUGGGGAAUUUUGGACAAUGGGGGCAACCCUGAUCCAGCCAUGCCGCGUGUAUGAAGAAGGCCUUCGGGUUGUAAAGUACUUUUGUUAGGGAAGAAAAGGGAAGUGCUAAUACCACUUUUUGCUGACGGUACCUAAAGAAUAAGCACCGGCUAACUACGUGCCAGCAGCCGCGGUAAUACGUAGGGUGCGAGCGUUAAUCGGAAUUACUGGGCGUAAAGCGAGCGCGGACGGUUAUUUAAGCAGGAUGUGAAAUCCCCGGGCUUAACCUGGGAACUGCGUUCUGAACUGGAUAGCUAGAGUGUGUCAGAGGGGGGUAGAAUUCCACGUGUAGCAGUGAAAUGCGUAGAGAUGUGGAGGAAUACCGAUGGCGAAGGCAGCCCCCUGGGAUAACACUGACGUUCAUGCUCGAAAGCGUGGGUAGCAAACAGG